RNAcentral lists this ribosomal RNA (400 nucleotides) under uncultured bacterium. Its description in RNAcentral is "bacterial SSU rRNA". It matches the Rfam family "Bacterial small subunit ribosomal RNA", at positions 355 to 746 of the family's 1533-position model. The record is from RNAcentral.
UGGGGAAUCUUGCGCAAUGGGCGAAAGCCUGACGCAGCAACGCCGCGUGAGUGAAGAAGGCCUUUGGGUUGUAAAGCUCUUUCGACUGGGGAGAAGGGCUAUCCUGCGAAUAGUUGGAUAGUUUGACGGUACCAGCAGAAGAAGCCACGGCUAACUUCGUGCCAGCAGCCGCGGUAAUACGAAGGUGGCAAGCGUUGUUCGGAAUCAUUGGGCGUAAAGCGAACGUAGGCGGGUUUGUAAGUAGACUGUGAAAUCCCUGGGCUUAACCCGGGACGUGCUGUCUAAACUGCAAGUCUUGAAUUCUCGAGAGGAUGGUGGAAUUCCUGGAGUAGUAGUGAAAUACGUAGAUAUCAGGAGGAACACCGGAGGCGAAGGCGGCCAUCUGGCGAGAUAUUGACGC